AUUGAACGCUGGCGGCAUGCCUUACACAUGCAAGUCGAACGGCAGCACGGGUGCUUGCCCCUGGUGGCGGGUGGCGAACGGGUGAGUAAUACAUCGGAACAUGUCCUGUAGUGGGGGAUAGCCCGGCGAAAGCCGGAUUAAUACCGCAUACGAUCCACGGAUGAAAGCGGGGGACCUUCGGGCCUCGCGCUAUAGGGUUGGCCGAUGGCUGAUUAGCUAGUUGGUGGGGUAAAGGCCUACCAAGGCGACGAUCAGUAGCUGGUCUGAGAGGACGACCAGCCACACUGAGACUGAGACACGGCCCAGACUCCUACGGGAGGCAGCAGUGGGAAAUUUUGGACAAUGGGCGAAAGCCUGAUCCAGCAAUGCCGCGUGUGUGAAGAAGGCCUUCGGGUUGUAAAGCACUUUUGUCCGGAAAGAAAUCCUUGACUCUAAUACAGUCGGGGGAUGACGGUACCGGAAGAAUAAGCACCGGCUAACUACGU
RNAcentral lists this ribosomal RNA (485 nucleotides) under uncultured bacterium. Its description in RNAcentral is "partial 16S ribosomal RNA". It matches the Rfam family "Bacterial small subunit ribosomal RNA", at positions 30 to 506 of the family's 1533-position model. The record is from RNAcentral.